GAUGAACGCUGGCGGCGUGCUUAACACAUGCAAGUCGAACGAAGCACUUUUAAUUCUUCGGAAGAGGAAGUGACUGAGUGGCGGACGGGUGAGUAACGCGUGGGUAACCUGCCUUAUACAGGGGGAUAACAGUUAGAAAUGACUGCUAAUACCGCAUAAGCCGAUAGAGUCGCAUGACUUAGUCGGAAAAGAUUUAUCGGUAUAAGAUGGACCCGCGUCUGAUCAGCUAGUUGGUGAGGUAAUGGCCCACCAAGGCGACGAUCAGUAGCCGGCUUGAGAGAGUGAACGGCCACAUUGGGACUGAGACACGGCCCAAACUCCUACGGGAGGCAGCAGUGGGGAAUAUUGCACAAUGGGGGAAACCCUGAUGCAGCAACGCCGCGUGAAGGAAGAAGCAUUUCGGUAUGUAAACUUCUAUCAGCAGGGAAGAAAAUGACGGUACCUGACUAAGAAGCCCCGGCUAACUACGUGCCAGCAGCCGCGGUAA
RNAcentral lists this ribosomal RNA (487 nucleotides) under uncultured bacterium. RNAcentral's name for it is "partial 16S ribosomal RNA". It matches the Rfam family "Bacterial small subunit ribosomal RNA", at positions 28 to 523 of the family's 1533-position model. The record is from RNAcentral.